GUUGCAGUCAUCACAGGGGAAAAUGUGAGGCUUGUAAAAAGCUUGUUUGAUAGCUGUUGUUGCAAAUGACUCAAAAACCACUUCAGGUUUAUGGAGUAGUUCACAGGUAAAUGUCAGUCCUAUCACAGUGAGAUUGGAGAAGUCGAUUGCAGCAACUUCAGCACCUGCUGAGGGCUUCAGUGAGAUCUCCACAGGCAGCAGUCAGGCUCCUGGUGUUCAGGUACACAGCACUUCCCUGGCUGUUUCCAGGUACACUGACUCUUGAUUUCCAGGCUGUAACAUAGAGAGGGCCCCUGGGAAUGAGAAGGGCACCUGCCUCAGCCUGUGCACACAAUGGGCAGUGCAAGCUCUAAGAAGGGCGGCAUCACUGGAGCUCAUUGUAGUGAGUUAAGAUACUGGAUACACACACCCCGUGGAACAGUGGAGGAGAAGAGGAAGAGGAAGAACAAGAACAAGGAUGAGCAUUCCUCUAUCCUGAGAGAUGACUUCAGUUUGCCCCCCUGAGAAGCCCCAGAGGAAGGCUGAGCAGUGGCAGCACUGUGCUCCAGAGAGCAAUGGCAGAAGGUGGCUGCAGUCAGAGCAGCUGGCAGCACUGGUGUCUGUGGGACAGCAUGGUUUCACUUUACUCAGUAAAUCACUUUGAAAUUGCAGCUUAAGAUGCCCAACUCAUUUGUCAGAGCUGGGAGAGUUUGACACACAAGACUGGGCUGGGUGACCGGAGAUCUUGGCUGUAAUUCCUCGUCCUUCAUCUUAAUGCCUUCGUCGGGCCAUUUUUGAGGAGAUUAUGUUCCUGGCUGAUUUUGACAACUGCUUUGACACCUGCAGAUGAAUAUGAUUAUUGAUUUCAGUGCCAAGCCUGUUUUUCUAAAGAGUUAGCAAAACAACCAGGAGACAUGACUUAGUAGAGACAAAAAAUUGGUGAAAUUUUGCUUUUGAAGGAACCUAUUCUAUUCCAGAAUCUCUUCAUAUAUUGUGUUCACUUGGUUAUUUUAAAUUUCCUUUCCUAUAUUUCUUUUUUUUUUUCCUUGGAUAAAAUUAACCUUAAUUAUGAUUAUUUUAUCUAUAAAACUGUCUGUACCUGCCAAAUAUUAAAAUGUUAGCAUGGAAAUUUUACCAAGGAUGAAAUCCUGACUUGGUAAUAGCUGAUAAAAAUCAGUGGAAGAAUAAUGGAUGAUUAAGUGGAAGAAAACCACAGAUGUAAUAUUUCAUCAUUGCUUAGAAGAGAAAUUUGACACAUUAGUGCCAGUUUGGAAGUUUUUCAGUAAAAUAUAUGAAUGCAGAAUAAGAAGAAUACAAUUAUAUUACCCUUGCAAUACGUGGUUCAGUUUUUAAAAGGAUGAAAAUUUGCAGCACAGUUAUGAUGAGAAAUGUACUUCUUCUGGAGUGACCAAUAGCCCAGGGACUGGAUCACUUCUGUGGGAUGGCCCUGCACUGCCUGAUUGAGACAGACACUUGGAGUGCAGGUUCACAGCUAGUACUUAGCCUGGCACAUGUGAUAUUAAAU
RNAcentral lists this long non-coding RNA (1504 nucleotides) under Serinus canaria (Common canary). Its description in RNAcentral is "lncRNA (ENSSCAG00000006159.1)". Lineage: Eukaryota; Metazoa; Chordata; Aves; Passeriformes; Fringillidae. The record is from RNAcentral.